CCUACGGGAGGCAGCAGUAGGGAAUCUUUCACAAUGGGCGAAAGCCUGAUGCAGCAACGCCGCGUGCAGGAUGAAGGCUUUCGGGUUGUAAACCGCUUUUAUAAGCGAGGAAAAUGAUGGUAACUUAUUAAUAAGGAUCGGCUAACUACGUGCCAGCAGCCGCGGGAAUACGUAGGAUCCGAGCAUUAUCCGGAGUGACUGGGUGUAAAGAGUUGCGUAGGUGGCAUAAUAAGUAGCUAGUGAAAUCUGGUGGCUGAACCCGGGCCUUGCAGCGCAACCUGGCUGGCUUGAGUACGCGGAAAGCAGGCGGAAUUCGUCGUGUAGCGGUGAAAUGCUUAGAUAUGACGAAGAACCCCGAUUGCGAAGGCAGCUUGCUGGAGCGGAACUGACGCUGAUGCUCGAAAGCGCGGGUAUCGAACAGGAUUAGAUACCCGUGUAGUC
Molecule: ribosomal RNA, 441 nt
Filed under: uncultured bacterium
Lineage: Bacteria
Description: partial 16S ribosomal RNA
Rfam family: Bacterial small subunit ribosomal RNA
Source: RNAcentral